Molecule: ribosomal RNA, 406 nt
Filed under: uncultured bacterium
Lineage: Bacteria
Description: partial 16S ribosomal RNA
Rfam family: Bacterial small subunit ribosomal RNA
Source: RNAcentral
AUUGAACGCUGGCGGCAGGCCUAACACAUGCAAGUCGAGCGAGCGGCGGACGGGUGAGUAAUGUCCGGGAAACUGCCUGAUGGAGGGGGAUAACUACUGGAAACGGUAGCUAAUACCGCAUACCAUCAGAUGUGCCCAGAUGGGAUUAGCUAGUAGGUGGGGUAACGGCUCACCUAGGCGACGAUCCCUAGCUUGUCUGAGAGGAUGACCAGCCACACGGGGACUGGGACACGGUCCGAACUCCAACGGGAGGAAGCAGUAGGAAAUAUUGCACAAUGGGCGCAAGCCUAAUACAGCCAAGCCGCGUGUGGAAAGAAGGCCUUCGGGUUGUAAAGCACUUUCAGCGGGAAGGCGUUAACCGCAGAAGAAGCACCGGCUAACUCCGUGCCAGCAGCCGCAGUAGUAC